AUGUGUGUUCUCAGCAAGAUUAUAACUGACCAUCAGGUGAUCAGGAGGUGUCUGUUUGUUUGCGCAGUCUCCAAUGCCACCAGGCUCCAGUGUACCAGUGAUGAUCUACAAGCGUUAACACAGAUGAAGAUGCCCUCAUCAGAGUGGAGCUCAGCUUCUUUGCACGUACCUACUUGUAGCUCAGGUGCCCAGCUGGGGACCACAGGUUUAUUCAGGUUCCCUCAUAAUGAAAGAACACGAAGAGGCAUCAUCAGAGAGAUGAUGAUGCCUCUUCGUGUUCUUUCAUUAUGUUUAACCUCAGAUGAACAGAAUCACCCUGCAGAGGGCAUGGCUCGCUCUUAUAACAGUGCAAGUCUGAGAAUGCCUGGCUUCCUGGCUUAGGCACCUCAGUCAGCUGCCUAGCAGUAAGGGAACAAGCUCCCACAGAAUAAUCCCCUGAGUCAGGCCUUCUGCUGCACUGGCAUCUUUUUCUCCUCAUAGUGGUGGUUCAUUUCUGGAAACAGGAAGAAAAUUCAGUCAUGUAUUGGAUCAUAUUUCAGAGUGUUUUUGCACAAUAUUCACUAUUUGUACAGGCUUUUGACGUGAACGCUGACUGCAUGAAGCAUUUAUCACAGUGGCUACAGAACUACCCUAAGAAUAGACUGCUGGGUGAGUCCAGCAGCAGGAGAAGAUUGAGCAAUAUUCAUUUGUCAUGCACCAGCCCUGGGACAGAGUCUGUGGCCAGGCACCUAAUACAGCACAUUUUCCUAAGCUGCAAUAUUGUGUUUGUGUGACAAAACAAGUUUAAAAUUGCUGUGAAAACUAGCCAGAAAUUUGUGAUGGUAAUCCAAAUGCAGCAUUGCAUGCUGCUGUUGCAAAACCAAACCUAAAUUAGCUUGAAGACAGGGCAAAGAUAUUCUGUAUGAGUUAUAUCCCAUGCACGGCAGUUUAAUAAUCCUCUUUGCCUGUGUUUAGAUUAAAAUUAGUACUGUGAAGACUUCCAGCCCAGCAAGAAACUCAAUACACCGCACUGAACUCGCGAACUCUAGGCAUGUUGUACCAGCACCCGUGAUCUCUGUGUCCUGUGGUUGUACAGGCCUUAAAGCAUUAGACUUCAGAAGAAAAAAUUCACCAUUAUAGACAAUCACAUAUAAUUAAACUUCACAGAACAAAAGUUUAAACAGUAAAGGGAACAAAUGAUCCACCCAAGUACAACAUUUAUUUCUGGAACGGCUGUUACCCUUACAAACACAUUUAGCCAUAAUGGGAAAAUUAUCUUGCAAAUGUCUAAUAAGAUUGUGUGUAUUUAAAUUUAUGCUGUAUUUAAUUUAGUUCUGCUCAUAACUGUUGUUGUGAGUCACUCAAAAGGUCCUUACACGUGGGAAAUCUUUUGUAUAAUUAAAAGAGCUAACAAUGCAAAACCCACAAGCCCCAAAUCCCUUGCAGCUUAAAGCCAAGUCCAUUUCUUAUGGUAAAUAUUUCUAUGCUAGUAAACCAUGACAUCACCCUCAGAGAGCUGCAAAUUAGAAAAUUUAUACCAAAUGCUUCCUCCAUAGAAAUUCAAACAGUGAGCCAAUCAGCUACACCGCAGCUGGCAUAAUUAGCAGUAGCUAAUGCCAUCACCAGCAGGUAUAGUUUUAUAGUAAACUUUCCCUUUUGGUCCUGAAAGGUACUAGAUUAAUUUGUACUGAUAAAUAUUUCUCAGAAAAUCAAGUGCUAAUUGGACAGUGGUGUCACUGAUAAAGAGCUUAAAGGAGCUGGUGUAUUGCUCUGUUGGUCCAUUUACCCAUCCUCAUAGCCUGAAAGGUAUUGCUGUAAUAGACAAGGGAAUUCUGGUUGUGCAGGACAGAAUGCUGACUCCAAGGCAACAAAACAGAUUUGUUUCAGCAUUUUCUAUUAAAAAGUGCUAUUUAUGUUUUCCUUUUCCUUUAUUUUUUAUUUUUCCAAGUAAAUUCACAAAGACUCAAACCUAAGACCUGCCUCAUUCUGGUAGGGACUUUCACAGAAUGCAGUACCAGAAUGCUUCAGGAAAAAAAAACAAAAUUGAAUAAUACUGAAUAAUACAGCCAUAAUAAAGCUGUCCUCUUCAAGUCUAUGUCUUUCA
This 2083-nucleotide long non-coding RNA is filed under the name Anas platyrhynchos platyrhynchos (common mallard). RNAcentral describes it as "lncRNA (ENSAPLG00000016816.1)". Lineage: Eukaryota; Metazoa; Chordata; Aves; Anseriformes; Anatidae. The record is from RNAcentral.